AUCGGGGGCACGAUGGAUGCACUUGGUGGAGCAGCAUCCUUGGUUGGGUCCGGGGUGGGGCUGGUGGGUACAGGGAUUGGAGCUGGUGGGUACGGGCGUUGGAGCUGGUAGGUUCAGGCCUUGGAGCUGGCGCUGGGUUGGUAGGAAGCGGACUUGGUGCUGUGGGCAGUGGUCUGAGCAAAGCUGGAAAGUUCAUGGGUAAAACUGUGACAAACCAGUUCAGCAGUGCUAGGAGAAACGGUAGCAGCACCCAAGGAGGUCAGGGACAGGGAGAACGAAAUGGAAGCUAAACCAGGCGACCGCCGCUUCUUGACUGGUCCAUUGUUUAUCUUCCUCGAUUUGUAUGUUUUGUUUUGGGUAGAAGCAUGUUAAUAGAGCAGUAAGAAUGCUUAAGUGAUUUUUCUUUUUCUUUUCUUUACUGGGGUUACAUUCUGAUGUGAUGUGAACUAUUUGAUGAUGCAAGAGAUUUAUGUCAGUUAGAUCCAUCCUUAAAGAUAGGCUCUGAUAGAAAAGAAAGACAGAAAAGGAAAAAAAAAAAAAGCGUCAUAGAAUGUGCAAGCAUGCAG
Molecule: long non-coding RNA, 566 nt
Filed under: Elaeis guineensis (African oil palm)
Lineage: Eukaryota; Viridiplantae; Streptophyta; Magnoliopsida; Arecales; Arecaceae
Description: long non-coding RNA (EGUI_LNC013120)
Source: RNAcentral